This 288-nucleotide ribosomal RNA is filed under the name Candidatus Midichloria sp. F16. Its description in RNAcentral is "partial 16S ribosomal RNA". It matches the Rfam family "Bacterial small subunit ribosomal RNA", at positions 531 to 818 of the family's 1533-position model. Lineage: Bacteria; Pseudomonadati; Pseudomonadota; Alphaproteobacteria; Rickettsiales; Candidatus Midichloriaceae. The record is from RNAcentral.
GGGGCUAGCGUUACUCGGAAUUAUUGGGCGUAAAGCGUGCGUAGGCUGCUUAGUAAGUCAAAAGUGAAAGCCUUGGGCUCAACCUAAGAAUUGCUUUUGAAACUACCAAGCUUGAGUACUGUAGGGGAUAGCGGAAUUCCUAGUGUAGGGGUGAAAUUCGUAGAUAUUAGGAGGAACACCGGAGGCGAAAGCGGUUAUCUGGACAGUUACUGACGCUGUUGCACGAAAGCGUGGGGAGCAAACAGGAUUAGAUACCCUGGUAGUCCACGCUGUAAACGAUGAGUGCUA